AGGACGAACGCUGGCGGCGUGCUUAACACAUGCAAGUCGAACGGUGAACCGGGCUUCGGCCCGGGGAUCAGUGGCGAACGGGUGCGUAACACGUGGGCAACCUGCCCCCGACACUGGGAUAACUCCGGGAAACCGGGGCUAAUACCGGAUACUCCGACCGAACCUCAUGGCUCAGUCGGGAAAGGUCCGCCGAUCGGGGAUGGGCCCGCGGCCUAUCAGCUAGUUGGUGGGGUAACGCUCACCAAGGCGACGACGCGUAGCCGGACUGAGAGGUUGGCCGGCCUCAUUGGGACUGAGACACUGCCCAGACUCCUACGGGGGGCUGCAGUAACGAAUCUUCCGCAAUGCACGCAAGUGUGACGGAGCGACGCCGCGUGUGGGACGAAGCCCGUUCGGGGUGUAAACCACUGUCGAGGGGUUACCAAGUUCUGAGGAGCCCCAGAGGAAGGCACGGCUAACUCUGUGCCAGCAGCCGAC
This 477-nucleotide ribosomal RNA is filed under the name uncultured soil bacterium. RNAcentral describes it as "bacterial SSU rRNA". It matches the Rfam family "Bacterial small subunit ribosomal RNA", at positions 26 to 518 of the family's 1533-position model. The record is from RNAcentral.